This 298-nucleotide unclassified non-coding RNA is filed under the name fungal sp. RNAcentral describes it as "partial internal transcribed spacer region". The stretch from base 1 to 45 matches the Rfam family "Eukaryotic small subunit ribosomal RNA", at positions 1787 to 1831 of the family's 1831-position model. The record is from RNAcentral. Lineage: Eukaryota; Fungi.
AGUCGUAACAAGGUAUCCGUAGGUGAACCUGCGGAUGGAUCAUUAACAAAGGUGUUUUUGAAGUUGUGUGAACAGUUGGAGGAGGUGGUGGUGGUGGUGGUAUUGGGUGGUAUUGAGUGGUGUAACCUUGGUCAACCUCACUCAACCUCACUCAACCUCACUCAACCUCACUCAACCUCACUCUCCCAACCUCACUCUCCCAACCUCCACCACUCCGUCCCUAUAAUGUAAUGUAUACAAACUGAUGUCUGCUAGUUUCAAACUAAAACAACUUUUAGCAACGGAUCUCUUGGCUCUC